GACGAACGCUGGCGGCGUGCUUAACACAUGCAAGUCGAACGGAAAGGCCCUGCUUUUGUGGGGUGCUCGAGUGGCGAACGGGUGAGUAACACGUGAGUAACCUGCCCUUGACUUUGGGAUAACUUCAGGAAACUGGGGCUAAUACCGGAUAGGAGCUCCUGCUGCAUGGUGGGGGUUGGAAAGUUUCGGCGGUUGGGGAUGGACUCGCGGCUUAUCAGCUUGUUGGUGGGGUAGUGGCUUACCAAGGCUUUGACGGGUAGCCGGCCUGCGAGGGUGACCGGCCACCAUAGGACUGAGAUACGGCCCAGACUCGUACGGGAGGCAGCAGUGGGGAGUAUUGCACAAUGGGCGGGAGCCUGAUGCGACAACGCCGCGUGCGGGAUGACGGCCUUCGGGUUGUGAACCGCAUUCGCCUGUGACGAAGCGUGAGUGACGGUAAUGGGUGAAGAAGCACCGGCUAACUACGUG
RNAcentral lists this ribosomal RNA (468 nucleotides) under uncultured bacterium. RNAcentral describes it as "partial 16S ribosomal RNA". It matches the Rfam family "Bacterial small subunit ribosomal RNA", at positions 28 to 507 of the family's 1533-position model. The record is from RNAcentral.